UACGUAGGGGGCGAGCGUUGUCCGGAAUGAUUGGGCGUAAAAGGGCGUGUAGGCGGCCUGGUAAGUCCGGAGUGAAAGUCCUGCUUUCAAGGUGGGAAUUGCUUUGGAUACUGUCGGGCUAGAGUGCAGGAGAGGUUAUCGGAGUUUCCGGUGUAGCGGUGAAAUGCGUAGAGAUCGGGAGGAACACCAGUGGCGAAGGCGGGUAACUGGACUGCAACUGACGCUGAGGCGCGAAAGUGUGGGGAGCAAA
This 250-nucleotide ribosomal RNA is filed under the name uncultured prokaryote. Its description in RNAcentral is "partial 16S ribosomal RNA". It matches the Rfam family "Bacterial small subunit ribosomal RNA", at positions 524 to 772 of the family's 1533-position model. The record is from RNAcentral.